RNAcentral lists this long non-coding RNA (842 nucleotides) under Phoenix dactylifera (date palm). Its description in RNAcentral is "long non-coding RNA (PDAC_LNC017644)". Lineage: Eukaryota; Viridiplantae; Streptophyta; Magnoliopsida; Arecales; Arecaceae. The record is from RNAcentral.
UCUCUCUCUCGCUCUGUCUCCACCGGAACCCCUAGCCCCUUUCUUUCUUCUUCUUUCACCUCCGGCCGAGCCCUUCUCCUGUCCUUCCUCUCUUUUUGCUUUCCCCCUCCUCUUCUCCCUCUCGCCGUGCCACCGUGGGGUGGGCCUCCUCCGGGAGAUGCUCCCACCUCGGAGCGGCAGAAGGGAAGGCCCUGGACCUCCUCCGAAGUGGUGCCGGAGGAGUCGAACGGGGUCCCCGAGGUGGGGCCGAGCCCCUGGGAGCUCCCCUGGGGAGGCCGACGCUUCCUCGGCCUGCAGCCGCUCCGGCGACUGCGGCCGAGGGGUGCCCUUCUCCAGGGUGGGAGCAGUGUGACAGGGAGGGGCUAAACCUCCUUCGAAGUGAUGCCGGAGUGAGUUUUAGUCUCCGGGCAUCUCCCUUACCCCGAUCCGACCACGGCGGAGGAGGAGAACCACCGUGACCGAGGAGGCGCGAGAGAUACAGGUACGAUCCUCCCUUUUUUUCCGCUUUUUUUCUUUCUUUAUUUUCUUUUAUUUUCUUUUUCGCCUCCUCCCUCUGUGGUGGUGCCACCACCUCCUCACCGGAGGGGGGUGGGACUCGGCCAGGGCUUGACAGCCCUGCGGUCGCGUCGGGGUACCCUAGGGCAACCGCGGCUGAGCCUGCGGUGCCUGUAGGCCGAGCCCAUCUGGGCUCGGCCCGGAUUGGCAACUGGGCUUGGGAUGGGCCUGGUUGGGCUCGGCUUCUCCUUUCUUUUCUCCCUCUGUUUUACCAUUGAAGCAGAGGGGAGAAGCCAUUUAGGCUAAAAGGGCACUAGUUUGCUACAAAGCUUGUUUCCGUAUUUAAG